AUGGAAGGUUCGCAGAGUUCAAUAGUGAGGGUGCCGGCGAGGUGCACAGCAGAGACGCAAACGUCGCGGGCCACGGUUGCGUUCGAGAUCGCUGGCUACAGCCUUCACAAGGGCCUCGGUAGAGGCAAAUACCUCCGUUCUCCGGCAUUCUCCGUCGGCGGCUACGAAUGGUGCAUCCGCUACUACCCCGACGGAAGCCCAGACGAGGCGAGCGAAGGUUGCGUCUCUGUCUUCCUCAAGCUCUUGACCAAGAACGCCGAGGUGAGGGCGACCUACAAUUUGAUGCUUGUGGAGCCGGUUAAGGGGCAGUCGACUGUGGUGCCCUCCUCCGAAGAGCCACAAGUGUUCGACCGUGAAAGGCCAUCCUGGGGCUUGCGGAGGUUCAUGAAGACCACUGCUGAAGUAGAGUGGGCGAACCUGUGGAACGAUUGUCUCGUGAUCGAGUGUGAGGUCACUGUUAUCAAGGAAACAUUUGAUGUCCAUGUGCCGCCCUCUGACCUUUCGGAUAAUCUUGCAACAUUGCUAGAGGGGAAGAAAGGAGCGGACGUGACAUUUAAGGUUCAAGGGGAGGUAUUUUCUGCUCAUAAGAUUUUGCUUGCGAUGCGAUCACCAGUCUUCGAAGCAGAGUUCUAUGGGCCACUGGGGAACAAGGGGGCGCAGAACGGGCAUGAUUGGCUGGCAGACAAAAAUUGGCAAGCCAACAUUUGGCAUUUCCAACAAGUGACAGCUAUAAAACUUGCCAAAAUUUUGCUAGUUUUAAGAGGUUGGCUAGGUGCCAACCAAUUGCUAGACAAAAUUUUGGUUUGCUUACCUAUUGGCAACCCAAAUUUUGGCAGCAAACCAAGCAGCCUUGACAUAACAAUUGAUGACAUGCAGCCUGCUGUUUUCAGGGCAUUUCUUCACUUCAUCUACACAGAUUCAAUGCCUUCCAUGAGAGAUCUUGAGGAUGAUGACAAAAUAGAAAUGGUUAAGCACUUACUCGUGGCUGCAGAUAAGUAUGGGAUGGAAAGGAUGAAGAGGAUAUGUGAAGGCAUGCUAUGCAAGAGUCUUGAUGUUGAGACUGUGGCUGCCAUAUUAGCUCUAGCUGACCAGCACCAUUGCAGCAACCUCAAAGAUGCUUGCAUCGAAUUUAUGCUCUCUUCGAACAGAAUGAAUGAUGUGAUGGCAAGCCAGGGUAUGCACACCUCAAAAGAUAUUCUCCUGAUGUCAUUGUAG
RNAcentral lists this ribosomal RNA (1215 nucleotides) under Triticum aestivum (bread wheat). RNAcentral describes it as "partial small subunit ribosomal RNA". The record is from RNAcentral. Lineage: Eukaryota; Viridiplantae; Streptophyta; Magnoliopsida; Poales; Poaceae.